Molecule: ribosomal RNA, 369 nt
Filed under: Triticum aestivum (bread wheat)
Lineage: Eukaryota; Viridiplantae; Streptophyta; Magnoliopsida; Poales; Poaceae
Description: partial small subunit ribosomal RNA
Source: RNAcentral
CGCGGUUGGGAAAACUGUGGGCUUUGCCCGCUUUGCAGGCGUGAAGGCGAGACGGGCGCGCACCUCUUCUACAAAUGCCGCUACACUAUUCGGCUCUGGAACUCGGUCAUCCUUGAAUUCGGUCUUGCGCAUAUGGACACCUCCUCUUGGCAACUGGAUGGAUUUGUUUUGGAAUGGCGGGACAAACGAACCAGCUUGCAAAACCCAAAUCGACGAGCCUUGGCCUCCCUUACAAUGCUUGUUUCUUGGACAAUCUGGAACGAGCGUAACGCUCGGGUCUUCCGUCGCAAGAGUGCACCGCCUCUGUUCCUUCUUCGUGCUAUCAUCAAUGAUGCCAAGCUUUGGGUUCUCGCGGGUGCUAAUUAUUAA